This 242-nucleotide ribosomal RNA is filed under the name uncultured bacterium. Its description in RNAcentral is "partial 16S ribosomal RNA". It matches the Rfam family "Bacterial small subunit ribosomal RNA", at positions 113 to 354 of the family's 1533-position model. The record is from RNAcentral.
CGACGUGAGUAACCUGCCUUGGAGUGGGGAAUAACACAUCGAAAGAUGUGCUAAUACCGCAUAAUGCAGUUGGGCCGCAUGGCUCUGACUGCCAAAGAUUUAUCGCUCUGAGAUGGACUCGCGUCUGAUUAGCUGGUUGGCGGGGUAACGGCCCACCAAGGCGACGAUCGGUAGCCGGACUGAGAGGUUGACCGGCCACAUUGGGACUGAGACACGGCCCAGACUCCUACGGAAGGCAGCAG